This 3089-nucleotide long non-coding RNA is filed under the name Mus caroli (Ryukyu mouse). RNAcentral describes it as "lncRNA (MGP_CAROLIEiJ_G0006599.1)". The record is from RNAcentral. Lineage: Eukaryota; Metazoa; Chordata; Mammalia; Rodentia; Muridae.
CAAGUUGGAGAGGAAAGGGUUUAUUCAGCUUACACUUCCAUGUUGCUGUUCACCAAAGGAAGUCAGGACUGGAACUCAAGCUGGUCAGGAAGCAGGAGCUGAUGCAGAGACCAUGGAGGGAUGUUUCUUACUGGCUGGCUUCUCCUGGCUUGCUCAGCUUGCUUUCUUAUAGAACCCAAGACUACCAGCCCAGAGAUUGUACCACCCACAAGGGGCCCUUGCCCCUUGAUCACUAAUUGAGAAAAUGCCCAACAUCUGGAUCUCAUGGAGGCAUUUCCCCAACUGAAGCUCCUUUUUCUGUGAUAACUCCAGCCUGUGUCAAGUUGACACACAAAACCAGCCAGGGCAGUGAGUCUGAGUGUAGAGGUGUGACUUCCACAACAAGAAUUUAACUACUUCCCCUGGGUAUGUAGCUCAGUUUGUAGACAACUUGUCUAGGAUGCACAAAGCCCUAGGUUCCAUCCCUAGCACUGCAUAAACAAAGUAUGGUCCCCUGUGACGGCAGUACUUGAGAGGUGAAGACUGACAGAUCAGAAGUUCAAGGUCACUCAGCUACCAUAGUCAAUCCAACUGGGAGACAUGACAGCCUGUCCAAAACAAAACAAAACAAAACACCAACUGACAAAAAACCCAAAGCAACAAACACAGCACCGCAGCAAUAACUCGACAGAAACCUGCCUACACAGAGAAAAGAAGCAGCAAUGGCACUCUGAAAACCAAGGGACGAAAGAAAGCCACACUAACACACACAGUAAGGAGGCCAGGCUUGUUCUCUUGUCUUCUAUAAGCUUCGGGUCACUCAGGAGCUUCAUUUGGCCUAGUCCUACAGAGGACACACAUGUUCUCUGUCUGCUAAUCUAUAGCCCACCUGACAUGGUGGACAAAGAGAGUCCCUUGGUGACCCAUCCAUGUUAGUAAAGUCACCGCUCCCCUGCUCCCAGUUUAUAGAUGGGGAAACUGAGGGUGAAGAGGAUGUGUAUCUAUUGUAUAUACUGCUAUGCUUUGCCUUUGCUUUUUGUUGUUCAAAAGUUUAGGUUAUUUUCAUGCGGUGCUGGGGAUUGAACCAGGACCCCCAGCAAGACUGGUAAAUACUCUAACAACUGAGCUACCUCCUAAGCCCAGAGUUUAAUUUUUAAUAUCUGUAUGCUUUGUACACAUAUUGUUUAAUAUUUUAACAGCAAUGUGAGGUUGCGUGAUCUUUUUGCAUUUAAUAUUUAUGUUUUGAAAGCCAAACAGAGGUGGUUGCUAUAGACCAGGGGCUCCAGAGAACAGCCCAACCAGUGGUUUCACACCUGGGAACUUUUACACAAACAAAGUCCAGCGUCCUAAUAGCCUUAUCUAGGUAAUUCAGACAUUGGCUGGGGAUUCUAUUUUCUUUACAAAACUCCCAAGAUAUUGAGGAUAUCUGGGUGACAAGAAAAGACGACGUUUGGAGACAGGACCCCAGAAAUGUUUUCAUUUCACGGCCUAAAAAGGAGAAUAACAAUCUCUGACGCAGCUACUGAAAAAUCAGGGUUUCCAGGGACAGUUAUGUGCUAACUAAUAAAAGAGCAACAGCAGUGACUACUGUGCCCCAGGGAAGUUCUUUGAAGUUAGUUAGCUGGAGCCGUGAUUUGAAUCCUGGUUGUCUCUGAUUUGUUUGUAUAGGAGCAAAACCCCACCUUUAGUUACUAUUAAAGGUUAGCAUAGCUUUAAACUCUUCUAUAUUUUCAUUAGGCAUUUGGCAUAUGCUACUAUCUGUCUCUACCCAACUGUAGACAGUGCAGCCAUUUGGGGGAUGGCUCUAUGUUCUUUAUGUCCUUACCCCCAGGGCAGUUUCACUGAACUGAGAGGUGGGAGUCAGCAGGUUGCUAGGGCUGUGCUGAGGACAGAGAAUUAAAAGUGUCCUGGACCCAGAGAAGGCCUAGGAUGCAAAGAAAGAGAUGCAUCAGGUGCUACCACCAGGAGAGAAAGUUGACAAACCUGUAGUUUUGCCAGCUAAGAGGUGACAAAGGGGAUCAACACACGGGAAGACCCUGGGAGAGUUCCUCUGGGAAUUAGCCUUGGGAAGGAGAGACAACGGUUCCUCUGAAUUUUAGAAAAACAAGCACUGGCAGAGACACAGCAAGGGUUUCUCAGGGGUGGGGGGUGGGGUGGGGGGGGGGAGCGACGCAGGCAAAAGGAAGAGCAAGGGGGCGGGGAGACCGGUUAAUGAAGUUUCUUCCAGCCUUCACUGGUGAAAGCCCAGGAUCUGAAAAUUCACUCCAGGAUCCUGGAGAUUUACACAGGGCUGAGAACUUAAAAAACGAAAACAACAACAACAACAACAACAACAACAACAAAAACUAUUAUCUGCAUGGUUCCUUUUUAAAUGGGGAGUGGGGUUCAUUUAAUACGCAAAAAAGAAAUCAAAAUGAUAGAACGGAUAUAGUCUCUGAAUAAAUCUACUCUGCUUUAUCACUAACUCAUUUUGCUGUUCUUGUUUUUCUCAUUUCGCCAGGAAGGAUGAUUCCUUCCUCCGGACCAGUGCGUGGGGAGCGCGGCUCCAAGCCGCCCACGCUGGCAGCCGCUUGCUAUCAUCGCGGGGUAUGCGCGGAGCCUGACACCCCCGCUGGAGCCUAGAGCCGCUCCUGCGCCUCGACACCCUGCUCCGGGCUAAGAUCCCGCCAGCCGGGCAGAGCAGGAACCGACUUCCAGGUGCAAGUCUGCCAGUCCGAUUCGGGACAAACCAGGUCACCCACUGAGGGUCGGCUGGACACACCGCGGCAGCGCGGGGCCGGCACGGCCUUUCCUUGGUUCUAGCGCCCACCUGCACCGCGAAGUGAUAGUCCGAGGAUCUCGGUGCCCACACACCCUCCUCCCAUCGUUCUGUCCCGCAGGUGUUAGGAUGCCCGCGCCUGAGCUCUGACCCUGGAUAUCCGAGGCCAUGGGUACCCCGGGUCCCGGAUGCCUGCGGAUGCUGGUGCGUGAAUUCACGCUGGUAGCUCUGGGCGCUCACGCCCGCAUCUUCUUUGAGCACGCGCGGUAGCGGCGCCCACGCGGAGCCAACCCGAGGUACCGGGAGAAGCUCAUCUUCCCAGCACGCGCCUUACCUGUCGUAGCUCCAGCGG